RNAcentral lists this long non-coding RNA (3377 nucleotides) under Homo sapiens (human). Its description in RNAcentral is "HSALNT0146382". Lineage: Eukaryota; Metazoa; Chordata; Mammalia; Primates; Hominidae. The record is from RNAcentral.
AACUGAAUGACAUGGGUGUCAGCAGAACAUGCUGUGGCUUCACAACAAUGAAGUGAUAAUGUGAACAUUCUCCAAUGACACAUGCUUUUGCUGCUGCAAUUAUACAAGCGCAAACAACUGUUGCACUUGGAUGUGCCCAGGACCUACAGUCUUCCUCUUUGUGCAUGAUAUGUGGGAGCUCAGGCAUGGAGAAAAAUAUCAGAAAAUCAAAGUUCUGAUGGGCUUUGAGAGGGCCAGGUUAAUAUACUUUUAGUUUUACUUCUGUUAAGAUUAGGUUAAAAGUUCCAUAUUAUCAUCAUCUUUAAGUGCUAAUUAUUUACAAGAUUUCAAUGAAGAAUUCUAACAGAAGAAUCCAUAUUUAAGAUCUGCAGUAGACUGAAUUAAAGGCCUAAAUUCUUCAUCUUUUCCUGUAUCCAUGCCAUUUGCCACCUAACUUUUCAGUUUCUCCCUCUAAAGCAGGGUUUCUUAGUCUCAGCACUAUUGACAUUGGGGCUGGAUAAUUCUUUAAUGUGGAGAGCUGUACUGGGCAUUGUAGGAUGUUUAACUGCAUCCAUGGCUUCUGCCUAAUGGAUAUCAGUAUAUUACUCACCACCUGCGAUUGUGACAACCAAAAAUGCCUCUAGACAUUGCCAAUAUCCUCCCGUGGGGGACAGAAUCUCCUCUAGCUGGGAACUACCACUCUAAAGAUGGGUAGUUCUCACACUGACUUCGGACUCAAGCAAUGUAACUUUCUGUGUCAAAGAAAAACUUGAAAUAUGUUUGUGUAGUGAAGCUUGCUCUCUUGUGCCUCUUAUAUCACCAUGAGCAGAAUGUCUCCAGGGAAGCUGCUCUGUCUUCAUUCUGAGCCCUAGAAUGAAGCAUCUGGGGCACAGCCACCUUGGCUGAUUCAAGAAGUGUGUAUCUGAAGAAGUAUGAUCCAAAGAAGUAGGACCACCCCAGCUACCAAGUCCUGAAGUAGAGUUGUUUCAUCCAACUUCAGACAUGUGAGAAAUAGAUGGACAUUGUAUGCCACUGAGAUUUUGUGGUUGUUUGUUAUGCGGCAAAAGCUGACUGAUACAGACCACUUAGCCAAAGUAAAGUAUAUUCAACUCUUAGUUAUAUUUAUUGGAUUUUUUAGUUGCUUACUAUGUCUUGAGACUCUCCCUCACUCCUGUUUCCUUCCCUGAUUGUAGCUAAUCCUCUCUGUCAAGGAUGCUUCUGCUUCAAACUAAUCCUUCCAGCUCUCUUUUGAGAGAUACCUGCAACCACUUGACCACCUACUUGAUGUGAAUUUAGGCAAUGAACUUGGAUUGUUUGUCCUUUUAGUAUUGAAUUUUAUAGGGAUUCUUUAUACGUUCUGGAUACAAAUCCUUUGUCAGAUAUAUAAAUUGCAAAUAUUUUCCCCAAUCUGUUGCAUUUUUUCAGUUUAAUAGCAUCUUCUGAUGAGCAAAAAGUAAAAGUAAUUUUGAUGAACCUAAUCUAUCUUUUUUUGUCUUUUCUGGUUAGAGCAUUUUUUGUUCUAAAAAAGCUUUGCCUAGAUUGCAAAGAUAUUCUCCUCUCUUUUCUUGUUUAUAGUUGUAGCUUUAGUGUUUAGCUUCUAUAGAUUAACUUCAUAGUCUUAGCUUUUGUAUUAGGGCUAUGAGCUACCUUGAAUUAAUUUUUGUGAAUGGUGUGUGUUGUGGGUCAAGAUUAAUUUUCAUUCAUGUAAAUACCCAGUUUUAGUAAAUUUUAAUAUAAUAUCUUAUGUUAUUGAAAAAAGCAGGAUGUAAAAUAUAUACUGUAGGGUCAGAACCAUUUUUAAUCUUAUUUAAAGAAAUAGGAAAUAAAUGCAAUCAGAUUAAUAGACGUUGUCAUUGGUAGGACUUCGGGUGAGUUUUUUCUUCUUCCUACUUUUCUGUAUUUUCCAGUUUUCUAUUCUAAAGUUAUAUUAAUGUAAUAAUUUGGAGAAAAGCUCUAGUUUUCUUUUCUUUUCUUUUUUUUGAGACAGAGUUUUGCUCUUGUCACCCAGGCUGCAGUGCAAUGGCACAAUCUCGGCUCACUGCAACUUCUGCCUCCCAAAUUCAAGGAAUUCUCCUGCCUCAGCCUCCUGAGUAACUAGAAUUACAGGUGUGCACCACCACGUCUGGCUAAUUUUUGUAUUUGUAGUAGAGAUGGGGUUUCACCAUAUUGGUCAGGCUGGCCUUGAACUCCUGACCUCAGGUGAUCCACUCACCUCAGCCUCCCAAAGUGCUGGGAUUACAGGCGUGAGCCACCAUGCCUGGCCGAAAUUGCAAGAACCUUUAAGGUGAUCCCCCACAAACUGGAGCUAGGAUUAAGGUGGUUCCUCAGGCCUUUGUUCUGCCUACAAUGUUCAUGAGAGUUGCUUUCUAGGUUUGAUUGCUGCUCAAACAUUCAAAAUCUGAAAUAGCAAAGAAAGAAAAAAGAGGAAAUCUAUUCCAAAGCAGCUACUGUAACUGAAAGUUGAAUGCAUGCUGAGAAACAGUAUUAUAAUUUGAUAUAAUUUGAUAUUUCAGCCUUAUUUAUUCUGAAUUCCUAAAGCUUUGUAGGUAUCCAAUGCAUUAUGAAAAAAUAUUAUUUACCUAGAAGCCUAGGGUGCCAAAGGGUAUACCUUCUGUGUUUUAUUUGGCCUGUGGACAGGGGAAAUAUUACAUAAUUCUGUAACUAAGGCCAUCUCUCUGCAACUUCUCCAUAGCAUUCUGUGUCCUUGACCUUUACAUAGUGGGCUGUACUGUCCCUGUCACAAUGCUUGUGCAUUAUUCUUCUCUCAACCAGACCUCCUUAUUUACUCCUAAGUAGCUAACUCUUAUAUUAAUAUACUGUCUCUAAACCCCAUUCACUCCACCCAGACCUUUGCCCCUUCCUUUCCUCCUAGACCACAUGGUUAGUUAUUUCUAGUAGAUUUGUUCUAUUACCACAACUACCUUUCCUCCUAUAGUUUCCUCCUUGACAGUGCUAGCUUCCAGAAAACAUUUUGCUACACAGCCUUGUAACAUUGUCACCUGUCAUAUUACAACUGAUAUGGGAGUGCUGAGAAGCGAAGAGCAUCGUCCCUUUAAAUGACACGGAAGCGGAAGCGGGGAAGGGAAGUGCUGGGUAGAGUAGGGCGUGGUCCCUGGCUAGGGAUCCACCCCCAAGGACCUAGCGAAGGACAGGCACUCCUGCCUUGGAGCCUAAAUGUUGCAUUUCCCAAGACCACCCUGGCCUGCCAUGCCCCAUUCUGUGCCUAUAAAAACUUGAGACCCUAGCAGGCACACACACACAAGUGGCUGGACAGAAGAAGACACAAAUAGCUGGUCAUGGAGAGCACGCCGCAGAAGAGCAUGCUGACAGGCACCAGCAGGCCAUCAACCAGCAGAAGACGAAGUUUGGCCAGAGCGGUUGGAAAAGGGUCCAGCGGC